GACGAACGCUGGCGGCGUGCUUAACACAUGCAAGUCGAACGGAAAGGCCUCUUUCGGGGGGUACUCGAGUGGCGAACGGGUGAGUAACACGUGAGUAACCUGCCCUUGACUUUGGGAUAACUUCAGGAAACUGGGGCUAAUACCGGAUAGGAGCUCCUGCUGCAUGGUGGGGGUUGGAAAGUUUCGGCGGUUGGGGAUGGACUCGCGGCUUAUCAGCUUGUUGGUGGGGUAGUGGCUUACCAAGGCUUUGACGGGUAGCCGGCCUGAGAGGGUGACCGGCCACAUUGGGACUGAGAUACGGCCCAGACUCCUACGGGAGGCAGCAGUGGGGAAUAUUGCACAAUGGGUGGAGGCCUGAUGCAGCAACGCCGUGUGCGGGAUGACGGCCUUCGGGUUGUAAACCGCUUUCGCUCAUGACGAAGCUUUGUGUGACGGUAGUGGGUAAGGAAGCACCGGCUAACUACGUG
RNAcentral lists this ribosomal RNA (467 nucleotides) under uncultured bacterium. RNAcentral's name for it is "partial 16S ribosomal RNA". It matches the Rfam family "Bacterial small subunit ribosomal RNA", at positions 28 to 507 of the family's 1533-position model. The record is from RNAcentral.